RNAcentral lists this ribosomal RNA (568 nucleotides) under uncultured bacterium. RNAcentral describes it as "partial 16S ribosomal RNA". It matches the Rfam family "Bacterial small subunit ribosomal RNA", at positions 355 to 914 of the family's 1533-position model. The record is from RNAcentral.
UGGGGAAUAUUGGACAAUGGGCGCAAGCCUGAUCCAGCAAUGCCGCGUGUGUGAAGAAGGCCUUCGGGUUGUAAAGCACUUUUAUCAGGAGCGAAACGCUGUCGGCUAAUACCCGGCGGAACUGACGGUACCUGAGGAAUAAGCACCGGCUAACUUCGUGCCAGCAGCCGCGGUAAUACGAAGGGUGCAAGCGUUAAUCGGAAUUACUGGGCGUAAAGCGUGCGUAGGCGGUUUCUUAAGUCUGCUGUGAAAUCCCCGGGCUCAACCUGGGAAUGGCAAUGGAUACUGGGAGGCUGGAGUGUGUCAGAGGGUGGUGGAAUUCCCGGUGUAGCGGUGAAAUGCGUAGAGAUCGGGAGGAACAUCAGUGGCGAAGGCGGCCACCUGGGACAACACUGACGCUGAGGCACGAAAGCGUGGGGAGCAAACAGGAUUAGAUACCCUGGUAGUCCACGCCCUAAACGAUGCGAACUGGAUGUUGGUCUCAACUCGGAGAUCAGUGUCGAAGCUAACGCGUUAAGUUCGCCGCCUGGGGGGUACGGUCGCAAGACUGAAACUUAAAUGAAUUGAC